RNAcentral lists this small nucleolar RNA (126 nucleotides) under Microtus ochrogaster (prairie vole). RNAcentral's name for it is "Small nucleolar RNA SNORA11 (ENSMOCG00000003705.1)". It matches the Rfam family "Small nucleolar RNA SNORA11". Rfam says of the family: U107 (SNORA11) is a member of the H/ACA class of snoRNAs that guide the sites of modification of uridines to pseudouridines. This snoRNA was identified by RT-PCR from blood cells and its expression confirmed by Northern blot analysis. There is no predicted target for this guide snRNA. Lineage: Eukaryota; Metazoa; Chordata; Mammalia; Rodentia; Cricetidae. The record is from Rfam by way of RNAcentral.
GGCGUGUGCUUAGAGCAGGUGCCCUGGAGAAUGUCUUCUCUGCUCACAGAACACCCAAGAGGAAUCUGGUCCAUCAUAAGGAGAGCACAGCACUGUGUCCUCCCUGUGACUUGAUGCCCUACAUGU